RNAcentral lists this non-coding RNA (119 nucleotides) under bovine gut metagenome. RNAcentral describes it as "FMN riboswitch (RFN element)". It matches the Rfam family "FMN riboswitch aptamer (RFN element)". Rfam says of the family: The RFN element is a highly conserved domain that is found frequently in the 5'-untranslated regions of prokaryotic mRNAs that encode for flavin mononucleotide (FMN) biosynthesis and transport proteins. This element is a metabolite-dependent riboswitch that directly binds FMN in the absence of proteins. The record is from RNAcentral.
GUUUCAGGGCGUGGUGAAAGUCCACACCGGCGGUGAACACAUUCGAUGUGCAAGUCCGCGAGCCAUUUGGCAGAACCGGUUGGAAUCCGGUACCGACGGUAUAGUCCGGAUGAAAGAAA